AUUGAACGCUGGCGGCAGGCCUAACACAUGCAAGUCGAACGGUAACAGGAAACAGCUUGCUGUUUCGCUGACGGGUGGCGGACGGGUGAGUAAUGUCUGGGAAACUGCCUGAUGUAGGGGGAUAACUACUGGAAACGGUAGCUAAUACCGCAUAGCGUCGCAAGACCAAAGAGGGGGACCUUCGGGCCUCGGGCCAUCAUAUGUGCCCAGAUGGGAUUAGCUAGUAGGUGGGGUAACGGCUCACCUAGGCGACGAUCCCUAGCUGGUCUGAGAGGAUGACCAGCCACACUGGAACUGAGACACGGUCCAGACUCCUACGGGAGGCAGCAGUGGGGAAUAUUGCACAAUGGGCGCAAGCCUGAUGCAGUCAUGCCGCGUGUAUGAAGAAGGCCUUCGGGUUGUAAAGUACUUUCAGCGGGGAGGAAGGGAGUAAAGUUAAUACCUUUGCUCAUUGACGUUACCCGCAGAAGAAGCACCGGCUAACUCCGUG
RNAcentral lists this ribosomal RNA (490 nucleotides) under uncultured bacterium. RNAcentral describes it as "partial 16S ribosomal RNA". It matches the Rfam family "Bacterial small subunit ribosomal RNA", at positions 30 to 507 of the family's 1533-position model. The record is from RNAcentral.